GCGCACCAGGCGAGAAAACUUUACAAUGCGGGAAACCGCGAUAAGGGGACACCGAGUGCCAGCAUACUAUGUUGGCUGUCCACAUGUGUAAAUAGCAUGUGUUAGCAAGGGCCGGGCAAGACCGGUGCCCAGCCGCCGCGGUAACACCGGCGGCCCGAGUGGUAAUCCACUAUUAUUGGGUCCUAAAGGGUCCGUAGCCGGUUUGAUUAGUCUUCCGGGGAAAUCUGAUAGCUCAACUAUUAGGCUUCCGGGU
RNAcentral lists this ribosomal RNA (253 nucleotides) under uncultured microorganism. Its description in RNAcentral is "partial 16S ribosomal RNA". It matches the Rfam family "Archaeal small subunit ribosomal RNA", at positions 330 to 579 of the family's 1478-position model. The record is from RNAcentral.